CAAGUUGACCCUGUGGGGUGACUUGUG
This 27-nucleotide non-coding RNA is filed under the name Rattus norvegicus (Norway rat). The record is from RNAcentral. Lineage: Eukaryota; Metazoa; Chordata; Mammalia; Rodentia; Muridae.